GGUGGACAAGAGCUCUGAAAUCUUGUUUAACUGCGAUCGAUAUUUUGGCCAGAGAAGAGGAUUCUCUAAUGCAGAUAUAACAGCUUUACAAUCAGACCACAGCUCACAAGAAGUAAUAUGAAGAUCCUUAAGGCUCUGUAAGCACCACUGUAAACAAUGAAGCUCCGCUGAAAAUCUAUUCAUCCUUGGCAAGAACGCAUCUCGGGCAUGGAAAAGAGCUUCACCAUCAUGAUUGCGGAUUAACCAGGCUCACAAAAAGAGCUUGCAUUCACCCAAGAGCAAUGAAUAUUACAUUUCAACACUCCACAGCCAGGCCGGAUCCAUCUCUGCGAAGGUGGAUGAGCUCGACUACCAUCGAUAGAAGUCGCUGUCCGAAUACGUUGUUGUUGAGCAGACCACUCCUCAGAUGCAGUUAGAGCCGCAACCAACAAAAUGUGAGGGUCAUGAACUUGUCCUGCAAAGAUAGUACCAUUUCGUGCCUUCCAAAUUUCCCAAAGUAUCCAGGGAAUUGCAGCUCUAUAUUGUGCUGAGACGUCAACUCUCCCCAUAAGAUCCAGAGAAUAUUCCAUAUUCUUAGCAAUAUCUCCCGAGAAACCAUGACUCGGUAAUGGAAGUGAAGAAUUUAACCAAACAUGUCUAGCUAAAGCACACUCAAAUAAUACAUGAGAUACCGUUUCUUCUUCUGCAUUACACAGUUGACAU
RNAcentral lists this long non-coding RNA (702 nucleotides) under Capsella grandiflora. RNAcentral's name for it is "long non-coding RNA (CGRA_LNC000752)". Lineage: Eukaryota; Viridiplantae; Streptophyta; Magnoliopsida; Brassicales; Brassicaceae. The record is from RNAcentral.